UUCUAAGGAAAGAAAUGCGGUGAUUUACUGAGCAACAAGUUGAUCUGUUGUGAGAGGUGCUACGUAGAGGAUGGACAUCACAGGGGACACGGUCGAGCCCCAUGUAGAGAUCUUCUGCGUCUUACUUCAUGCAAGUUUCAUUAUAUGAGUGCGUUACUUUUUUGAUGAUAUUAUCAUAUUUGAAAGGAAUGGGAAGCACAACUCCUAAUAUUGAUGCUUAUUUUUUUUAUAUUUUGGUACUCCAAUGAAUAGACU
Molecule: long non-coding RNA, 255 nt
Filed under: Hordeum vulgare
Lineage: Eukaryota; Viridiplantae; Streptophyta; Magnoliopsida; Poales; Poaceae
Description: long non-coding RNA (HVUL_LNC017934)
Source: RNAcentral